UACAUAUACAUGGAUGAGGGGGCAUUUUUCUUUUGUUUGUUGCGUGCGGGGGUGCAGGAGAGCGGGGCGGGCGUGCUGGAGCUGGAGAGGGACGAGGAGGAGGGGGCGGCAAGCGGGAGAGGGCAAGGAGCGGCGAGGAGGGCUCGGAGGGCGGCGAGGAGGUAAGGAGGACUCGGCGGGCGGUGCGGGAAGCGGCGUCCUAGGGGAAGCAGCGCCCUUGGCGGCAGCUCGGGCAGGCAGCGCGGGCUCGGCGGCGGCCUCGGCGGGAAGCGGCGCCGAGCGUCCAGCGGCUCGGCGGCGGGGCCUCGGCGGGAAGCGGCACCAGGCGUCCAGUGGCUCGGCGGCGGGGGCGGGAAGCUGCGUCGGGCGUCCAAGGGGUCGGCGGUUGCGUGCGGGGGUGCAGGAGGGCGGCGGGGCCUCGGCGUUGCGCUGCCCGGGUUGGGCCUCUAGGUGUUGUGACCGCCCGACUCGGCCGCCCCGAAGGGCCGCCCCAAGCACAAGCCCUGCCGGCGCAGCCGCAUGGUCCACCUCCCGUACCGCUCCGUCCCGCCCGCGCCCGGGUCGUAGACCCUGCGGAAGCGUCGGUAUGGCCCCUGCUAGCGGCCGUUACCGUGGCGGCUGCACUGCCAGCUGCUCAUGGUAUCCAUGUUCCUCCUACACUCGUAUUACUUCCUUUACCCGAAGCUGCGCAUGGCCAAGAGCUAGAGGACCAGCUUAUAAAUGGGUCUACCCUGACCCUUCCACUUGGUCCUUCCUCACCUGAUGAUGUCGUCCGAGUAUCUAAUGUACGAGGUCGUUCUACUCGUGAACAAGUGGAAACAACAUCGCGUCUCUGAACAAGGUCUAUAAAUUUACAGAAAAAUGCAUAGGAAACAAACAAGAGUUAAACCUACGAAAGUACGUCUAGUUCAAUAAUAACUCCUGUUUUACUUCCCCACGUAACGUUAGAUCUAAACUGAUUUACACACCGUCUAGACAACUGUUUGUGUAAAUGUAAAUUCAUACACAUCAUACGAAGUACAUUAAUUGGUGUUGUAAACAAAGCAGUUAAUAAAGGAAAAGUAAGUCACUUACAGGAAAACAAUUUUUCGCGCUCAGCUUACACAUUCAUGCCUUUUCCAAGAGGGUAACCCAACGGUGAUGUUGCUUUAUUGGUACAUUUACUGACAAUUUGUAUGAGAUAAAAACAUUAAGUUUCCGUUACAAAGACGGCUAGAGCUUUC
Molecule: ribosomal RNA, 1223 nt
Filed under: Triticum aestivum (bread wheat)
Lineage: Eukaryota; Viridiplantae; Streptophyta; Magnoliopsida; Poales; Poaceae
Description: partial small subunit ribosomal RNA
Source: RNAcentral